AGUGAACGCUGGCGGCGUGCCUAAUACAUGCAAGUCGAACGGAGAUUAAGUAGCUUGCUAUUUAAUCUUAGUGGCGCACGGGUGAGUAAUAUAUAGCUAACUUGCCCAUUACUAAGGGACAACAGUUGGAAACGACUGCUAAUACCUUAUACUCCGUAUCUAUAUAAGUAGAUACGGGAAAGUUUUUCGGUAAUGGAUAGGGCUAUAUCGUAUCAGCUAGUUGGUAAGGUAAUGGCUUACCAAGGCUAUGACGCGUAACUGGUCUGAGAGGAUGAUCAGUCACACUGGAACUGAGACACGGUCCAGACUCCUACGGGAGGCAGCAGUAGGGAAUAUUGCUCAAUGGGGGAAACCCUGAAGCAGCAACGCCGCGUGGAGGAUGACACUUUUCGGAGCGUAAACUCCUUUUCUUGGGAAAGAAUUAUGACGGUACCCAAGGAAUAAGCACCGGCUAACUCCGCG
RNAcentral lists this ribosomal RNA (462 nucleotides) under uncultured bacterium. Its description in RNAcentral is "partial 16S ribosomal RNA". It matches the Rfam family "Bacterial small subunit ribosomal RNA", at positions 29 to 507 of the family's 1533-position model. The record is from RNAcentral.